RNAcentral lists this ribosomal RNA (568 nucleotides) under uncultured archaeon. RNAcentral describes it as "bacterial SSU rRNA". It matches the Rfam family "Archaeal small subunit ribosomal RNA", at positions 326 to 899 of the family's 1478-position model. The record is from RNAcentral.
CGGGGUGCACCAGGCGCGAAAACUCCACAAUGCAGGCAACUGCGAUAGGGGGACAUCGAGUGGCAUCCACCUUGGGUGCCUGUCCAACCGUCUAAAAAACGGUUGUUAGCAAGGGCCGGGUAAGACCGGUGCCAGCCGCCGCGGUAAUACCGGCGGCUCGAGUGGUGGCCGAUAUUAUUGAGUCUAAAGGGUCCGUAGCCGGCUUUGCAAGUCCCCUGGGAAAUCCAGCGGCUUAACCGUUGGGCUUUCAUGGGAUACUACAUUGCUUGGGACUGGGAGAGGUAGGAGGUACUCGAGGGGUAGGGGUGAAAUCCUGUAAUCCUUCGGGGACCACCGGUGGCGAAGGCGUCCUACCAGAACAGGUCCGACGGUGAGGGACGAAAGCUAGGGGCACGAACCGGAUUGGAUACCCGGGUAGUCCUAGCCGUAAACGAUGCCCGCUAGGUGUCACGACGGUCGUGAAUCGUCGUGGUGCCGUAGGGAAGCCGCGAAGCGGGCCACUUGGGAAGUACGACCGCAAGGUUGAAACUUAAAGGAAUUGGCGGGGGAGCACAAGGGCGAAUUCGCG